Molecule: ribosomal RNA, 494 nt
Filed under: uncultured bacterium
Lineage: Bacteria
Description: partial 16S ribosomal RNA
Rfam family: Bacterial small subunit ribosomal RNA
Source: RNAcentral
AUUGAACGCUGGCGGCAUGCUUUACACAUGCAAGUCGAACGGCAGCGGGGAGGAGCUUGCUUCUCUGCCGGCGAGUGGCGAACGGGUGAGUAAUACAUCGGAACGUGUCGAGAAGAGGGGGAUAACCACCCGAAAGGGUGGCUAAUACCGCAUAAAUUCUGAGGAAGAAAGCUGGGGACCUAGGAAUAGGCCUAGCGCUUUUUGAGCGGUCGAUGUCGGAUUAGAUAGUUGGUGAGGUAAAGGCUCACCAAGGCGAAGAUCUGUAGCGGGUCUGAGAGGAUGAUCCGCCACACUGGGACUGAGACACGGCCCAGACUCCUACGGGAGGCAGCAGUGGGGAAUUUUGGACAAAGGGGGCAACCCUGAUCCAGCCAUGCCGCGUGUAUGAAGAAGGCCUUAGGGUUGUAAAGUACUUUUGUUAGGGAAGAAAAGUCAGCUGUGAAUAAUGGCUGAUACUGACGGUACCUAAAGAAUAAGCACCGGCUAACUACGUG